This 406-nucleotide ribosomal RNA is filed under the name Eriphia smithii. Its description in RNAcentral is "partial 16S large subunit ribosomal RNA". It matches the Rfam family "Bacterial large subunit ribosomal RNA", at positions 1918 to 2597 of the family's 2925-position model. Lineage: Eukaryota; Metazoa; Arthropoda; Malacostraca; Decapoda; Eriphiidae. The record is from RNAcentral.
AGUUGUUUAAGAGCCGCGGUAUUUUGACCGUGCAAAGGUAGCAUAAUCAUUAGUUUCUUAAUUAGGAACUUGUAUGAAUGGUUGGACAAAAGAAAAGCUGUCUCUGUUGUAAAGGUUGAAUUUAACUUUUAAGUGAAAAGGCUUAAAUAUUUCAGGGGGACGAUAAGACCCUAUAAAGCGUUUUAUUGGGGCGAUAUAGGUAUAAAUAUUAACUGCUUGAAUAACAUACAAUAAUAAGUGGAAAGAUCCUUUUUAGAGAUUAAAAGACUAAGUUACUUUAGGGAUAACAGCGUUAUUUCUUUUGAGAGUUCCUAUCGAAGAAGAAGUUUGCGACCUCGAUGUUGAAUUAAAAUGUCUAUAUAGUGCAGUCGCUAUAAGAGAAGGUCUGUUCGACCUUUGAAAUUUU